CGUUAACAUCUUGGAUGAAGUGCUUGCGAAAGCGCUAGCACUAGUUUGCAAACUCUCCGUAGUAAAUUAAUUUCAGAAAUCAAAGGAAAAAAAACACUCACCAUGGUGGCUAAAGCGGCGGAAUGGCUAAAUGAGCUAGUAACUUUCACUAGCGAGUCAUUUGAGACCACUUUAACUGCCAUGGUGAGUGUUUAUUUUCCUUUGAUUUUUGUAAUUGGUUUGUUGCAGAGAGUUUACAGAUUGGUGUUAGUGCUUCCACAAGCGC
Molecule: microRNA precursor, 265 nt
Filed under: Selaginella moellendorffii
Lineage: Eukaryota; Viridiplantae; Streptophyta; Lycopodiopsida; Selaginellales; Selaginellaceae
Description: miR1087 stem-loop (smo-MIR1087)
Source: miRBase by way of RNAcentral